RNAcentral lists this ribosomal RNA (2902 nucleotides) under Escherichia coli. RNAcentral's name for it is "bacterial LSU rRNA". It matches the Rfam family "Bacterial large subunit ribosomal RNA". The record is from RNAcentral. Lineage: Bacteria; Pseudomonadati; Pseudomonadota; Gammaproteobacteria; Enterobacterales; Enterobacteriaceae.
UUAAGCGACUAAGCGUACACGGUGGAUGCCCUGGCAGUCAGAGGCGAUGAAGGACGUGCUAAUCUGCGAUAAGCGUCGGUAAGGUGAUAUGAACCGUUAUAACCGGCGAUUUCCGAAUGGGGAAACCCAGUGUGUUUCGACACACUAUCAUUAACUGAAUCCAUAGGUUAAUGAGGCGAACCGGGGGAACUGAAACAUCUAAGUACCCCGAGGAAAAGAAAUCAACCGAGAUUCCCCCAGUAGCGGCGAGCGAACGGGGAGCAGCCCAGAGCCUGAAUCAGUGUGUGUGUUAGUGGAAGCGUCUGGAAAGGCGCGCGAUACAGGGUGACAGCCCCGUACACAAAAAUGCACAUAUUGUGAGCUCGAUGAGUAGGGCGGGACACGUGGUAUCCUGUCUGAAUAUGGGGGGACCAUCCUCCAAGGCUAAAUACUCCUGACUGACCGAUAGUGAACCAGUACCGUGAGGGAAAGGCGAAAAGAACCCCGGCGAGGGGAGUGAAAAAGAACCUGAAACCGUGUACGUACAAGCAGUGGGAGCCUCUUUUAUGGGGUGACUGCGUACCUUUUGUAUAAUGGGUCAGCGACUUAUAUUCUGUAGCAAGGUUAACCGAAUAGGGGAGCCGAAGGGAAACCGAGUCUUAACUGGGCGUUAAGUUGCAGGGUAUAGACCCGAAACCCGGUGAUCUAGCCAUGGGCAGGUUGAAGGUUGGGUAACACUAACUGGAGGACCGAACCGACUAAUGUUGAAAAAUUAGCGGAUGACUUGUGGCUGGGGGUGAAAGGCCAAUCAAACCGGGAGAUAGCUGGUUCUCCCCGAAAGCUAUUUAGGUAGCGCCUCGUGAAUUCAUCUCCGGGGGUAGAGCACUGUUUCGGCAAGGGGGUCAUCCCGACUUACCAACCCGAUGCAAACUGCGAAUACCGGAGAAUGUUAUCACGGGAGACACACGGCGGGUGCUAACGUCCGUCGUGAAGAGGGAAACAACCCAGACCGCCAGCUAAGGUCCCAAAGUCAUGGUUAAGUGGGAAACGAUGUGGGAAGGCCCAGACAGCCAGGAUGUUGGCUUAGAAGCAGCCAUCAUUUAAAGAAAGCGUAAUAGCUCACUGGUCGAGUCGGCCUGCGCGGAAGAUGUAACGGGGCUAAACCAUGCACCGAAGCUGCGGCAGCGACGCUGAUGCGUUGUUGGGUAGGGGAGCGUUCUGUAAGCCUGUGAAGGUGUGCUGUGAGGCAUGCUGGAGGUAUCAGAAGUGCGAAUGCUGACAUAAGUAACGAUAAAGCGGGUGAAAAGCCCGCUCGCCGGAAGACCAAGGGUUCCUGUCCAACGUUAAUCGGGGCAGGGUGAGUCGACCCCUAAGGCGAGGCCGAAAGGCGUAGUCGAUGGGAAACAGGUUAAUAUUCCUGUACUUGGUGUUACUGCGAAGGGGGGACGGAGAAGGCUAUGUUGGCCGGGCGACGGUUGUCCCGGUUUAAGCGUGUAGGCUGGUUUUCCAGGCAAAUCCGGAAAAUCAAGGCUGAGGCGUGAUGACGAGGCACUACGGUGCUGAAGCAACAAAUGCCCUGCUUCCAGGAAAAGCCUCUAAGCAUCAGGUAACAUCAAAUCGUACCCCAAACCGACACAGGUGGUCAGGUAGAGAAUACCAAGGCGCUUGAGAGAACUCGGGUGAAGGAACUAGGCAAAAUGGUGCCGUAACUUCGGGAGAAGGCACGCUGAUACGUAGGUGAAGUCCCUCGCGGAUGGAGCUGAAAUCAGUCGAAGAUACCAGCUGGCUGCAACUGUUUAUUAAAAACACAGCACUGUGCAAACACGAAAGUGGACGUAUACGGUGUGACGCCUGCCCGGUGCCGGAAGGUUAAUUGAUGGGGUCAGCGCAAGCGAAGCUCUUGAUCGAAGCCCCGGUAAACGGCGGCCGUAACUAUAACGGUCCUAAGGUAGCGAAAUUCCUUGUCGGGUAAGUUCCGACCUGCACGAAUGGCGUAAUGAUGGCCAGGCUGUCUCCACCCGAGACUCAGUGAAAUUGAACUCGCUGUGAAGAUGCAGUGUACCCGCGGCAAGACGGAAAGACCCCGUGAACCUUUACUAUAGCUUGACACUGAACAUUGAGCCUUGAUGUGUAGGAUAGGUGGGAGGCUUGGAAGUGUGGACGCCAGUCUGCAUGGAGCCGACCUUGAAAUACCACCCUUUAAUGUUUGAUGUUCUAACGUUGACCCGUAAUCCGGGUUGCGGACAGUGUCUGGUGGGUAGUUUGACUGGGGCGGUCUCCUCCUAAAGAGUAACGGAGGAGCACGAAGGUUGGCUAAUCCUGGUCGGACAUCAGGAGGUUAGUGCAAUGGCAUAAGCCAGCUUGACUGCGAGCGUGACGGCGCGAGCAGGUGCGAAAGCAGGUCAUAGUGAUCCGGUGGUUCUGAAUGGAAGGGCCAUCGCUCAACGGAUAAAAGGUACUCCGGGGAUAACAGGCUGAUACCGCCCAAGAGUUCAUAUCGACGGCGGUGUUUGGCACCUCGAUGUCGGCUCAUCACAUCCUGGGGCUGAAGUAGGUCCCAAGGGUAUGGCUGUUCGCCAUUUAAAGUGGUACGCGAGCUGGGUUUAGAACGUCGUGAGACAGUUCGGUCCCUAUCUGCCGUGGGCGCUGGAGAACUGAGGGGGGCUGCUCCUAGUACGAGAGGACCGGAGUGGACGCAUCACUGGUGUUCGGGUUGUCAUGCCAAUGGCACUGCCCGGUAGCUAAAUGCGGAAGAGAUAAGUGCUGAAAGCAUCUAAGCACGAAACUUGCCCCGAGAUGAGUUCUCCCUGACCCUUUAAGGGUCCUGAAGGAACGUUGAAGACGACGACGUUGAUAGGCCGGGUGUGUAAGCGCAGCGAUGCGUUGAGCUAACCGGUACUAAUGAACCGUGAGGCUUAACCUU